GAGGAAAUAGAGGAAAAAUAUGAAAAGGAGAAGCAUAGUAAAACACCUGAGGGAGAGAAAAGCAGUAAUAGCACAGAUGAAACUGUAGAGGUAAAAUCAUUUAUCCCUAUUAAGUUAUUGGUCUCUGAAAGAAUUUGGUUCUAUAACUUAUAUUAGUUUGUAUGUAUGUGUAGUUACCUUGGAAAUGCAAAGCUGGUGUUAUAGGUGGUUUCAGUAGAGGGAGGAACAUGUAUGUAGGUGUUAAUAGUUAAACAUUUUAUUUUUUAACGUUUGAAAUUAGAAAUGUCAUUGUUUUAUCUCUCUAUAGCCAGAAGAGACUACUCAGAAAGAGACCAUCAUUCAGCAGGAGAAAGAAGAUACUGACAACCACACUGUGAACAGUUCUACAGAGAACACUGAUGACCAAAUAACUGGAGGAGUUGGGAGGAAAAAGCGAAAGCCACUGACAGGCCAGAAGAAUGUAUGUAGCAGAAAGGAAGAUAGAUUUGGAAAACCAUUACAGAGCGGACAAGAAAAAGAAAAGGAAG
This is a long non-coding RNA of Athene cunicularia (burrowing owl), 527 nucleotides long. RefSeq lists it as uncharacterized. Lineage: Eukaryota; Metazoa; Chordata; Aves; Strigiformes; Strigidae. The transcript has 3 exons. The record is from RefSeq and is a predicted model, not a curated record.